This 497-nucleotide ribosomal RNA is filed under the name uncultured bacterium. RNAcentral describes it as "partial 16S ribosomal RNA". It matches the Rfam family "Bacterial small subunit ribosomal RNA", at positions 28 to 507 of the family's 1533-position model. The record is from RNAcentral.
GAUGAACGCUGGCGGCGUGCCUAAUACAUGCAAGUCGAGCGAACAGACGAGGAGCUUGCUCCUCUGACGUUAGCGGCGGACGGGUGAGUAACACGUGGUUAACCUACCUAUAAGACUGGGAUAACUUCGGGAAACCGGAGCUAAUGCCGGAUAAUAUAUUGAACCGCAUGGUUCAAUAGUGAAAGACGGUUUUGCUGUCACUUAUAGAUGGAUCCGCGCCGCAUUAGCUAGUUGGUAAGGUAACGGCUUACCAAGGCAACGAUGCGUAGCCGACCUGAGAGGGUGAUCGGCCACACUGGAACUGAGACACGGUCCAGACUCCUACGGGAGGCAGCAGUAGGGAAUCUUCCGCAAUGGGCGAAAGCCUGACGGAGCAACGCCGCGUGAGUGAUGAAGGUCUUCGGAUCGUAAAACUCUGUUAUUAGGGAAGAACAAAUGUGUAAGUAACUAUGCACGUCUUGACGGUACCUAAUCAGAAAGCCACGGCUAACUACGUG